Molecule: ribosomal RNA, 481 nt
Filed under: uncultured bacterium
Lineage: Bacteria
Description: bacterial SSU rRNA
Rfam family: Bacterial small subunit ribosomal RNA
Source: RNAcentral
AUCGUAACUCCUACGGGAGGCAGCAGUGGGGAAUUUUGGACAAUGGGGGCAACCCUGAUCCAGCAAUGCCGCGUGAGUGAAGAAGGCCUUCGGGUUGUAAAGCUCUUUUGUCUGGGAAGAAACGGUAGUAGCUAAUAUCUAUUACUAAUGACGGUACCUGAAGAAUAAGCACCGGCUAACUACGUGCCAGCAGCCGCGGUAAUACGUAGGGUGCAAGCGUUAAUCGGAAUUACUGGGCGUAAAGCGUGCACAGGCGGUUGUGUAAGUCAGAUGUGAAAUCCCCGGGCUCAACCUGGGAAUUGCAUUGGAGACGGCACGGCUAGAGUGUGUCAGAGGGGGGUAGAAUUCCAGGUGUAGCAGUGAAAUGCGUAGAUAUGUGGAGGAAUACCGAUGGCGAAGGCAGCCCCCUGGGAUAACACUGACGCUCAUGCACGAAAGCGUGGGGAGCAAACAGGAUUAAAUACCCCUGUAGUCCUAGAGC